AGAGUUUGAUCCUGGCUCAGGACGAACGCUGGCGGCGUGCUUAACACAUGCAAGUCGAGCGGAAAGGCCACUUCGGUGGUACUCGAGCGGCGAACGGGUGAGUAACACGUGAGUAAUCUGCCCCUGGCUUCGGGAUAGCCACCGGAAACGGUGAUUAAUACCGGAUAUGACACGGACUCGCAUGGGUUUGUGUGGAAAGUUUUUCGGCCAGGGAUGUGCUCGCGGCCUAUCAGCUUGAUGGUGAGGUAAUGGCUCACCAUGGCUUCGACGGGUAGCCGGCCUGAGAGGGUGACCGGCCACACUGGGACUGAGACACGGCCCAGACUCCUACGGGAGGCAGCAGUGGGGAAUAUUGGACAAUGGGCGGAAGCCUGAUCCAGCAACGCCGCGUGAGGGAUGACGGCCUUCGGGUUGUAAACCUCUUUCAGUACCGACGAAGCGCAAGUGACGGUAGGUACAGAAGAAGCACCGGCCAACUACGUGCCAGCAGCCGCGGUAAUACGUAGGGUGCGAGCGUUGUCCGGAAUUAUUGGGCGUAAAGGGCUCGUAGGCGGUUUGUCGCGUCGGGAGUGAAAACGCCGUGCUUAACACGGCGCUUGCUUCCGAUACGGGCAGACUAGAGGUAUUCAGGGGAGAACGGAAUUCCUGGUGUAGCGGUGAAAUGCGCAGAUAUCAGGAGGAACACCGGUGGCGAAGGCGGCUCUCUGGGAAUGACCUGACGCUGAGGAGCGAAAGUGUGGGGAGCGAACAGGAUUAGAUACCCUGGUAGUCC
This 772-nucleotide ribosomal RNA is filed under the name uncultured bacterium. RNAcentral describes it as "bacterial SSU rRNA". It matches the Rfam family "Bacterial small subunit ribosomal RNA", at positions 8 to 796 of the family's 1533-position model. The record is from RNAcentral.